UACGUAGGGUGCAAGCGUUGUCCGGAAUUAUUGGGCGUAAAGAGCUCGUAGGCGGUCUGUCGCGUCGGAUGUGAAAACCCAGGGCUCAACCCUGGGCCUGCAUUCGAUAUGGGCAGACUAGAGUUCGGUAGGGGAGACUGGAAUUCCUGGUGUAGCGGUGAAAUGCGCAGAUAUUAGGAGGAACACCGGUGGCGAAGGCGGGUCUCUGGGCCGAAACUGACGCUGAGGAGCGAAAGCGUGGGGAGCAAACAGG
This 253-nucleotide ribosomal RNA is filed under the name uncultured bacterium. Its description in RNAcentral is "partial 16S ribosomal RNA". It matches the Rfam family "Bacterial small subunit ribosomal RNA", at positions 524 to 776 of the family's 1533-position model. The record is from RNAcentral.